This 235-nucleotide ribosomal RNA is filed under the name Fasciola gigantica. RNAcentral's name for it is "partial small subunit ribosomal RNA". It matches the Rfam family "Eukaryotic small subunit ribosomal RNA", at positions 26 to 255 of the family's 1831-position model. Lineage: Eukaryota; Metazoa; Platyhelminthes; Trematoda; Plagiorchiida; Fasciolidae. The record is from RNAcentral.
UAUAUGCUUGUCUCAGAGAUUAAGCCAUGCAUGUCUAAGUACAUACCUUGAAACGGUGAAACCGCGAAUGGCUCAUUAAAUCAGCUAUGGUUCCUUGGAUCGUACAUACUACAUGGAUAACUGUAGUAAUUCUAGAGCUAAUACAUGCCACUAUGCCCUGACCCGCGAGGGAACGGGUGGAUUUAUUAGAACAGAACCAACCGGGGGCGGCUUCGGUCGUACCUGUUGCUUUUUG